RNAcentral lists this ribosomal RNA (448 nucleotides) under uncultured Entomoplasmatales bacterium. RNAcentral describes it as "bacterial SSU rRNA". It matches the Rfam family "Bacterial small subunit ribosomal RNA", at positions 917 to 1370 of the family's 1533-position model. Lineage: Bacteria; Bacillati; Mycoplasmatota; Mollicutes; Entomoplasmatales. The record is from RNAcentral.
GGACCCGCACAAGUGGUGGAGCAUGUGGUUUAAUUCGAAGCAACGCGAAGAACCUUACCAAGACUUGACAUCCAGUGCAAAACUGUAGAAAUACAGCAGAGGUUAACAUUGAGACAGGUGGUGCAUGGUUGUCGUCAGUUCGUGCCGUGAGGUGUUGGGUUAAGUCCCGCAACGAACGCAACCCUUGUCGCUAGUUACUAACAUUAAGUUGAGGACUUUAGCGAGACUGCUAGUGUAAGCUAGAGGAAGGUGGGGAUGACGUCAAAUCAUCAUGCCCCUUAUGUCUUGGGCUACACACGUGCUACAAUGGCUGGUACAAAGAGCAGCAAUCUCGCGAGGGGGAGCAAAUCUCAAAAAGCCAGUCUCAGUUCGGAUUGAAGUCUGCAACUCGACUUCAUGAAGCCGGAAUCACUAGUAAUCGCGAAUCAGCAACGUCGCGGUGAAUACG